Molecule: long non-coding RNA, 570 nt
Filed under: Capsella rubella
Lineage: Eukaryota; Viridiplantae; Streptophyta; Magnoliopsida; Brassicales; Brassicaceae
Description: long non-coding RNA (CRUB_LNC004737)
Source: RNAcentral
UUAAACCCCACAGACACACACAUAAAAGAGAAAGAAAAAAAAAACAGUUAGAUUCAAUUCAUUUGAUAAUACCAUCUAGUAUAAUGACAAUUUUAAGAUGAUAAAAAUCUUGAAAACUGACAAAAACUAAGCUGCGGUUCAUAAUGAUAAAAGACAAAACUAAUGCAAUAAUUAGGAUAAUAAUGACAUUCGUGCCGACCCCCAAAAACAUCUAACGCGUUUGCAAAAGAGUCUGAUAUAGGCUUGUUUGUGUAUACGCAAUUAAAAUCAAUUUUUUUUUUUUUUGGUUAUUUCCAGUUCCUAUCCAAAACAUGACAUUAAAAAUCGUAUUAUAUUUCUAAUCCGAUCGAGAAUAUAAUCAUAUUUUAAAACAUUUUUUACUAAUUAAUUAACAACCAAAGUUUUUUUUUUUUGGAUGUAAUUGAGUUUCCCGAGAAAACCGGGGAUGUUGGUACCUAAAAUUCUGUGAAAUGUUUGAAAGUUUGCAGUUGGAGCGACUCGGGGACUUCAAAGAUUCGCUUCCAACACAUUUUUAUACGUUACUUCUCAUUUUUUAUGAUUACCUUUUCU